AUGUCCUCUCUAUUUUCUGUUUGCUUUCUUGUUGCCAUGGCCGAAUCAAAAAGAACAAAGGGUCCUUUCCAGCGUUCUAGUACCUUGGAUAACCCCUCUAUCCUCUCUAAGCUCAUAAAUAAUGAUGCUAUGGAAAUACCCACCGGGGUCACGGAUGAGAGCUCAAAUAAUUUUGAUGAAGAUGACUUCAGAAUUUUUCGCUAUUGGCUUGAUGAGUCUUUAAAAGAUGCUUGGGAUAGGUUAUUAAGGAUUCGGGCUAGCUAUGUGCCACAAUAUCAAAUUGAAGUUUACCCAAAGAGUUUCUAUGUUAGCCUACCCGCUUGUUUCAAGAAAGUUCUAGAUUCUAUUUUUGAAGAAGGUUUUCUUAAUGGGGAUGCUAUAGAUACUUAUGAAAAAAUGGAAACUAUAUUUGGGCACCCUAUGAAUGAUAAGGUUGAAUCUACCACUCUCUUAUGCUUUUAUCAAAAUGAAAUUAUCAAAGAGAUGAAGUCUAGCUUAGAUGCAAAUUUCUGCAAUGUGCUUAAUAUUACUUCAUCCAUUAAUGGCAAUGUGCUUUCCCUAAAUAGAAGAAUGAAUGCCAUGGAAAGGAAAUCCUCUUUUUCCUUUCCAAGUGCCAAAGAUGGCACUACUUAG
This 633-nucleotide ribosomal RNA is filed under the name Triticum aestivum (bread wheat). Its description in RNAcentral is "partial small subunit ribosomal RNA". The record is from RNAcentral. Lineage: Eukaryota; Viridiplantae; Streptophyta; Magnoliopsida; Poales; Poaceae.